RNA transcript from Propithecus coquereli (Coquerel's sifaka), 1096 nucleotides. It is a transcript of the gene named eukaryotic initiation factor 4A-II pseudogene, with no coding region annotated. The transcript has a single exon. The record is from RefSeq and is a predicted model, not a curated record. NCBI's taxonomy places the organism in Eukaryota, Metazoa, Chordata, Mammalia, Primates, Indriidae.
GGAAUGGACCCUGAUGGGUGUAAGUGAUAGCAACUGGAAUGAGAUUGUUGAUAACUUUCAGGAUAUGAAUUUAAAGGAGUCUCUUCUCCAGGGUAUCUAUGCUUAUGGUUUUGAGACGCCUUCAGCUAUUCAGAAGACAGCUCUUAUUCCUUGUAUUAAAGAUACAAAAGGUAUAAUUCUGGAACUUGGAGACUAUAUGGGAGCAACUUGUCAGGCUUGCAUUGGUAGAACAAACAUUUGAAAUGAAAUGCAAAACAAUGCAUGCUGAAGCACCGGAUAUUGCUGUUGGUACACCAGGGAGUGUCUGACAUGUUAAAGAGAAGAUACCUUUCUCCCAAAUGGAUCAAAAUGUUUGUUUUGGAUGAAGCAGAUGAAAUGUUGAGCUGAGGGUGUAAGGAUCAAACCUAUGAAAUUUUCCAAAAAUUAAAUGCAAGUAUUCAGAUUGUGUUGCUUUCUGCCACAAUGCCAACUGAUGUGUUGGAAGUGACCCCAAAAUUCCUGAGAGAUCUAAUUUGAAUUCUGGUGAAAAAGGAGGAAUUGACCUCUGAAGAAAUCCAACAGUUUUAUAUUAAUGUUGAAAGAGAGAAAUGGAAAUUGGACACACUUUGUGACUUGUUAGAGACACUGAGCAUUAUGCAGGCUAUAAUUUUUCUCAAUUCAAGGCACAAGGUGGACUGGCUCACGGAGACAAUGCACACCAGGGGAUUCACAGUUUCUGCUCUGCAUGGUGACACGGACCAGAAGGGAAGAGACGUUCCCGUGAGGGAAUGCUGAUCAGGAUCAAGCUAUGUUCUGAUCACUACUGACUUGCUGGCUUGUGGGACUGAAGCGCAACAAGUAUCUUUUGUUAUAAACUAUUAAUAUGUUGAAAUAUCAUGAUCUAACUACCAACCAUGAAAACUAUAUUCACAGAAUUGGAAGAGGGGGUCAAAUUGGGAGGAAAGGUUUGGCUAUAAACUUGGUUGCUGAAGAAGACAGGAGGAUUCUUUGAGAGACUUUCUACAAUACUACAGUGGAGGAAAUGCUCAUGAAUGUGGCUGACCUUAUUCAAUUCCCGGGAGGAGACAGUUUCAAAAGCAGUGCUCACUGGUGCUGA